UUAAAACAUGCCCCAACUUUAUUAAAAGAGGAAGAAGAGCUCCUAUCCCCUCCUCAGAGCUCUACUGUAGCCAGAGAACAGGCCCUGGAAAGCGGUGUGGUGGGAGGCUGGUGCUCAAAGCCUGCGUGUCCUGAAAGAGGGAAAAAAGAUAAAAGGGCCCCUAUAGGGUUCCAUCUCUUAAAAGAGUUGGGCUUUCAAAAAUGGGGGGGGGGGGCUUUUGUUCUCAUAAAGCAGAGUAUGAGUCACUAUAUAUAUAAGCAUGUAUAGUGACUUAGACUCUGCUUUAUGAGUCCCCUAAAGCCGCAGUUCAGAGGGUUAAGGCCUACUGUUUCAGUCAGAUUGGCUUAAGGCCUACCACUAUUUUGCUGAUAACCAUCUUGAAGGAAACUGAAUCAAGCAGGAGAACUGGUGAGGAGUGUGACUUUAUCUUAGUUGAAGGUGUACGUUUUUUGGUGCUCAACAUCAAGAAGGUUCUACCUUGUGGUUUGAGCUUACAUGCUUAUAUUAUCUGGGUACGGAAUUCUUUGCAAAAGAAAGAUAUCCAUUGCUAGCUAGACUGAGUCGGAGUGGAUCUUGCCCCACAAAAGGCAAGGGAGAAGGAAGCAGAGUCCAUGGGGCUGAGGAUUCACACAGGGACAUGGAAACAUCCCAGCCUUAUUUCCAUGGCUGCAGUGGAGUCAUUUAUGAACUUAUGAGAGAAUGCAAGGCGGUGGCAACGGGUGGUGAAAGAAAACUCAAGCUAAGGUGAAUGCUUAUGAGGAAGCACAAGCUGGUGGCAAGAUGGUACCAGCUAAAACAAUUUGAUAAUCAGGUUUCUCUCCUUUUUGUGAGGAUUGCUUCUUUGAGGCAAUUGAAAAGCCCUUUUAUAUCUCAGAAAUGAGCUGAAAUGUCCUGAGGCAUGGUAUGUACUCUGAAAAUGCUCGCAUUUCAUUUGAUUGCUGCUGUUAAUAUUUCAAAGAUGAAGUAAGUUUCCCCCCCUGGGGGCAUUGAGCAUUUGUGUAAACUGCUUUAAAGAAUGAGUGGAUUUGAGUACCAUCUUCACAACGGGGGUGGUGGGGUGGGGGAGAACAUCAGUAUAUCCACCAGACUUUGGGAAAUGACAAGUCAAAGGAGAAAAUCUGUUGGAGUGUAAAUUCAUACUAAUAUUCAGAACAGGCAGCUUGUGUUUUAUUAGGGCACAAUCCAGCCACAGUUAACAACUUCUACAUCUCAUUGAUUUAAAUGAAUGAGAACUAACUUUAAUGAAAUCAGUGGGGUGUAUAGCUUUGGCUGGAGUGGGCCUUGGUUGUUUGAAGGGGCAAGAGUGAUGGAAGAUUUGCAACACUCACUGUCAUUUUGGGUGGCCUUAAUCAGGCAUAAGAACUUAGGCCACUGCUGCUGAAAGCUUAGGCUAGGCAUCUUGCAGGGUGUACAAUUAUUUAUUUAUUUAUGACAUUUAUAAACUGCCCCAUCCAGAGGUUCUGGGUGGUGCACAACUGGUUUAAAAAACAUAAAAACCAACAUUUAAAACACACUACUUAAAACAAUUUUAACACAAUUUAAAACCAAUUAAAAAUACUUAAAAAUAAUUGGAAGGCCAGGCCAAACAAGUCUUUAGGGCUCUCUUAAUGGCAAACAGUGAGCCUAAACUGCAGUUAUCUGCCAGGAGUGCAUUCUACAGAAAAGGCCCGGUUCUGAGUCGCCACCAGACAUACUGGUGGUAACUGGAGACGGACCUCUCCAGAUGACCUCAACGUGAGAUGGGGAUCAUACAGAAGGCUCAUACAGCCUUCUUCUGAUAACAGCAGUCCUUGGGGUCAUUCACACAAUUGAAAACUGUGUUCUACCCAGGUUUGGGAGCUGUGUGUACUCCCAAUUUUUGAUUGUGUGGAAGCAAGGUUAGAGGAAAACCUGGGUAGAAGUGAUUGUGUGGAAGCAAGGUAGGAGAAAAAGCUACCCAGGCUUUCCUCUAAAUGUUUCCUCUAAAUUGCCCUCCUGUAGAUGUUAGAUUACAACUCUCAUAAUGGCUAUUGGCCACUGUAGCUCAGGAUGAUGGGAGUUGUAGUCCAGCAACAGCUGGAGGGCUAAAGUCGUGCAGCCGAACUAAUCCAAUAUUUGCCACCAAGCCAGAAUCCUCCUCACACCUAAUCAGGGUGACUACAGAGUAUUUUGCAGUCCUGGGGUGCAGGAGGGAACAAUGCACCUUUUAUUAUGGUUUCCUUUUUUUUAAGGUUUCCCUCAAAUGCAGCUGCAGAUCCUUGUUCCAUAGAACUGAAUGGAGCUGAACAGAAGAGUCUGCAGCUGAAAACAUUGAGGCUCUUCUCACGAUCGGUGAGAAGAGCCUCUAGGGGGGUUGCGAGGAGAGUGGGUUAAGCCCACUCUACUUGCAGAUGAGCAGACAGUCUGCUUUGGGCGGCUGCAGCAGCCACCCACACAACUGCCGGCUCUGUGAUGGAGCUGGCAGGGGCUGGGAGGAUCGGGGGCCACGCGGUCCCCAGAAGCUCCAGUAUGCCCUGCGCGAGCGUGCAGGGCAUACUGGAGAGACCCCUGAGCCAGGAGGCUGCUUUUAAGCCUCCUAGCUGGGGGUCUACUUGUGAGUAGCCGUGGCGCGAAGCUGCGCCACUGCUACUCACGAUUUUGAAAACUGGGCUUGAAGAGCACUUGCUCCGCAAACCCGGUUUAAGGGGAGGGGUAGUUAUGUGGGUUAACCUUCUGGAAGCCACUGAGCUUGCCUGCGAGCCCGGUGGCUCACACGGUCAGGUGAAAUCGGGUUAGGCUCUCCUAGCCCAAUUUCGCCUGAUCGUCAGAAUAGCCUCAAUGUCUGUUCAGGAGACACUGUAGGGGGAGAAUGGCAGUUCAGUCCCCACAUAGUAGAGCAAAACCAGUUUGGUGAGAAAGCAGCAAAGCAAGAGUUCUUGAGACAGUUCUUUAGUAUUGAAGAACUACAAGGAUUUAUGUAAAGAAAAGUUUGCAAACAAAUGUAAACAAAUGUAAAUGUGUUUGUGCCCUUAACCUCAGCUAAGAGCUGGGCUUGGCUCUAUGGAACCACCAGAAUCUGCAUUGAUCCCGGUGGUUCUCAUGGGCAGCCAAGACCAGGUUUGGCUAUCUAAGCCUGGGCUUGGCUGCUUGUGAGAACAGCCUCAUAGUUGCAGCCAGAGGCAGCCAGAAAGGUGACUGGAAGACGGCUGAGGGGUAAAGAGCUCUUCUCUGGCUCCUACACUCCACUCUCCUCUGGGUGGGAGAAGGGUCUGGCCAAGGCUUUUUCUGUGCUCUUGUUCUCCUCUUUGCAGCCUGUUGGUUAUCGGGUGCUGAACUCGCUCUAAUUGUGUAGAUAUAUAUUCUGCACCUGGCCAGAAUGCCUGAUUGGUGUGGGUGUGAGACACACCCAUUGGGCUUCUGAGAUCUUGGCCUUUAUUAGAGUGGGCUGCAGCCAGAGGCGAAGGGGCCGGCCUCUGGAGGUGGCCUUCAGGGGUGGGACUGAGGGCUGGGGCCGACUUAUUAACUAGAACAGCUGGAAGGAAGACUCUUGCUCACUUCAUUGUUACCUAGUAUUUAGUUAGGCCUGGUACAGGUAUGUGUUUUGGGCUGAACAGAGAUGGGGAGGUGGGGAAUGACCCUGGGGCAGCUGUAUCAGUGGUGGCAAGGAAUCGACGGAUAUAUGGCGUUAGUAGGCCAGUGGGCUGUUAUAGGGGAAGGGAAUUCAGAAAUCUAAUUGCUGUUUUGCCUUCCAGCAGGCCUACCACCUCUUUGGUUCUGGAGAGCAAUGCCACCCACCCACAGAACCUCACCUUAUUACUCUGUAAUUCCAGGUUGGUUCAAAACAAAUCUGAGGUAGUCCAUGACUUGAUUAUGGAUGAAGGAGCUGACCUGCUAUGUAUUAUGGAGACCUGGUUGGGAGAGGCUAGUGGUCUAGUUUGGUCCCAGCUUCUCCCAGAGGGUUACUCCGUGGUAGGGCAGGUGAGAGGAUGUGGUCGGGGAGGUAGGGUGGCUGUGGUCUAUAAGAAUACUAUCUUCCUUACCAGGAUCCCUGUCAGGGAUUUGGCUAUACUGAAUGUGUGUAACUAAGCCUAGGGACCAGGGAUAGAUUGGGGAUUCUGCUGGUGUACCGAUCACCCCACUGCCCAGUGGAGUCCCUAACUGAGCUGAGGGACCUGGUUGCAGAGCUGGCACUGGAGUUGCCCAGGGUUGUUGUUGGUGGGGACUUUAAUGUUCAUUUUGGAACCAGGUUGUUGAGGGCGCUCAAGAGUUCAUAGCAACCAUGAUGACUGUGGGCCUAUCCCAAUUGGUCUCUGAUCCGACACCUGAUGCUGGUCACACACUCCAUUUGGUCUUUUGCUCCGACCAGGGAGGUGUUCAGUGGGUGGAGACUUCUGUCAUCUCCCCAUUGUCAUAGACGGAUCACCAUCUGGUUAAGGUAGAACUUACAGCCAUGACCCACCUCUGCAGGGGUGAAGGACCUAUUAGAUUGGUUUGCCCAAGGAGGUUAUUGGAUCCAAUAGGUUUCCAAGAAGCCUUGGAGGGGUUUAGGGUUGGCUCUGCUCACGAUUCUGUUGAUGCUCUGGUACAAAAUGAACUUACUAGAGCAGUAGAGACAAAAGCUCCUAAGUGUCCUCCCCGACUUGCUUUAAAGACAGCCCUGUGGUAUUUGGAUGAGUUAUGGGAGCUGAAGCAGCGAGGCAGACGAUUAGAGCACAAGUGGAGGAAGACUCGGUGCGAACCUGAUUGGACACAACACAGAGCACAUUUGAAGACCUAUGCUCUGGCAGUACAGGCUGCAAAGAAGCAGUUCUUUUCUGCCCGUAUUGCUUCCGCAAAUUCAUGUCCAGCUGAGUUGUCUACAGUUGUGAGGGGGUUGGUACUGUAUGUACCCUCUCCCCCUUGAAUUUAGACUUGGAACCAUCAGUCACUCACUGUGACAUCUUUAACCACUUUUUUGCGGAUAAAAACUCUCAGAUUUGGGCCAAGCUGGAUUCCACAGUUACUUCAGAGUCAACUGUGGAGGUGUCCAGCAACUCCUCUUAUGGGAUUAGAUUGGAUCACUUUCAGUUUGUGACUCCUGCAGAAGUGGACAAACUGCUUCGGACUGUGCUCCCUACAACCUGUUCUCUCAACCCUUGUCCAGCUUGGCUUAUCAAAUCGGAUAAUCAUAUUAUCAGGGAGUGUCUGGUUAAUAUUAUUAAUGCUUCUCUGAAGGAGGGCAGGAUGCCUCCUUGUCUUAAGGAGGCUACUAUUAGACCACUCCUGAAGGAAGCAACGCUGGAUCCCUCCGAGUUAGCUUUCGAUACCAUCGACCAUAAUGUCCUUCUGGACCGCCUGGGGGAGGUGGGAUUGGGUGGCACUGUCUUACAGUGGUUCCGCUCCUACCUCUCUGGCAGAUUCCAGAUGGUGUCGCUUGGAGAGUGUUAUUCUGCUAAGCGGGAACUGAAGUGUGGUGUCUCACGGCUCCAUACUGUCUCCAAUGCUUUUAAACAUCUACAUGAAACUGCUGGGAGAAAUCAUCAGGAGGUUUGGUGCUGAGUGUUACCAAUAUGCUGAUGACACCCAGAUUUACUUUUCCAUUCUGACCUCAUCAGGGAAUGGCAUAUCUACCCUAAAUGCCUGCCUGGAGGCAGUAAUGGGCUGGAUGAGGGAUAAUAAACUGAAGUUGAAUCAAAAUAAGACAGAGGUACUGCCUGUGGGGGUGGGGGCAGGACCCGAGAGAUGGUUUAGUUCUGCCUAUUCUGGAUGUAGUUACACUCCAGCUGAAAGAUCAGGUACAUAGCUUGCGAGUGCUCCUGGACCCAAAGCUCUCCCUGGUUUCUCAGGUGGAGGCGGUGGCCAGGAGCACUUUUUAUCAGCUUCGGUUGAUAUGUCAGCUACGCCCAUUUCUAGAGGUGAAUGUCCUUAAAAUUGUGGUACAUAUGCUGGUAACCUCCAGGCUUGACUGCUGUAAUUCAUUCUAUGUGGGGCUGCCUUUGUAUGUAGUCUGGAAACUACAAUUGGUACAGAAUGCAGCAGCCAGAUUGGUCUCUAGGACAACAUGAAGGGACCACAUAACAUCAGUUCUAAAAGAACUGCACUGGCUGCCAGUAUGUUUCUGGGUGAAAUACAAAGUGCUGGUUAUUACCUAUAAAGCCCUUAAUGGCCUGGGUCCAGGCUAUUUGAGAGAGUGUCUCUUUUGUCAUAAUCCCUGCUGUCUGCUACGAUCUUCUGGAGAGGUCUGGUUACAGUUGCCACCGGCUCGUUUGGUGGCAACCCAGGACCAGACUUCUGUGGCUGCCCCAGGUCUCUGGAAUAAGCUUCCUGCUGGAAUAAGUUUCCUGCCUGAAAUAAGAGCAUCUCCUUCUCUGUUUUCAGGAAGAACCUCGAGACCCUCCUGUUCUCUCAUGCUUUUAAUUAGAAUUAAUUUUUAAUAAUUUUUAAAAACUUGUUUUAAUAAUUUUGUUUUUAUUGUCAUGUAUUUUAAUUUGUGACUUUUAAAUAUUUCAAAUUUUGUACACCGCCUAGAGAUAUACAUAUAGGCAGUAUAAAAAUAUGAUAAAUAAAUAAAUAU
Hemicordylus capensis (graceful crag lizard) is the source of this 6511-nucleotide RNA transcript. RefSeq lists it as uncharacterized. The record is from RefSeq and is a predicted model, not a curated record. The transcript is spliced from 5 exons. Lineage: Eukaryota; Metazoa; Chordata; Lepidosauria; Squamata; Cordylidae.